AAAAAUUUUACUUGAAUUUACUCCGUGUUUAUGUGUUUUUAUUUUAACCAAUAAUGCAAUCUUCCAGAUAUGGCAGUCAACAUCAACAAUCUACAGAAAGACCUGAAGGAGCAGUUAGAAGACAUGGCAGUCAACAUGAGCAAUCUACAGAAGAACCUGAAGGAUCAGAAUAACAAGUUUGAAGUCAUCAAUAAAACUCUUUUGGAUGAAAUAAAAAAACUGAAAAUCAAGAU
This is a long non-coding RNA of Oryzias melastigma (Indian medaka), 233 nucleotides long. RefSeq lists it as uncharacterized. The record is from RefSeq and is a predicted model, not a curated record. NCBI's taxonomy places the organism in Eukaryota, Metazoa, Chordata, Actinopteri, Beloniformes, Adrianichthyidae. The transcript has 3 exons.